RNAcentral lists this ribosomal RNA (497 nucleotides) under uncultured bacterium. RNAcentral describes it as "partial 16S ribosomal RNA". It matches the Rfam family "Bacterial small subunit ribosomal RNA", at positions 28 to 507 of the family's 1533-position model. The record is from RNAcentral.
GAUGAACGCUGGCGGCGUGCCUAAUACAUGCCAGUCGAGCGAACGGACGAGAAGCUUGCUUCUCUGAUGUUAGCGGCGGACGGGUGAGUAACACGUGGAUAACCUACCUAUAAGACUGGGAUAACUUCGGGAAACCGGAGCUAAUACCGGAUAAUAUUUUGAACCGCAUGGUUCAAAAGUGAAAGACGGUCUUGCUGUCACUUAUAGAUGGAUCCGCGCUGCAUUAGCUAGUUGGUAAGGUAACGGCUUACCAAGGCAACGAUGCAUAGCCGACCUGAGAGGGUGAUCGGCCACACGGGAACUGAGACACGGUCCAGACUCCGACGGGAGGCAGCAGUAGGGAAUCUUCCGCAAUGGGCGAAAGCCUGACGGAGCAACGCCGCGUGAGUGAUGAAGGUCUUCGGAUCGUAAAACUCUGUUAUUAGGGAAGAACAUAUGUGUAAGUAACUGUGCACAUCUUGACGGUACCUAAUCAGAAAGCCACGGCUAACUACGUG